AUGAACGCUGGCGGCGUGCCUAACCCCUGCAAGUCGCACGGAGUCCAGCCUUUAAGACCUUCGGGUCAAAGAGGGGAAGACUGAGUGGCGGACGGGUGAGUAACACGUGGGCAACCUGGCUCAUAGAGGGGGAUAACAGAGAGAAAUUUCUGCUAAUACCGCAUAAGCACACACUGCCGCAUGGCAGAGGGUGAAAAGAGAAUCGCUAUGAGAUGGACCCGCGUCUGAUUAGCCAGUUGGCAGGGUAAGAGCCUACCAAAGCGACGAUCAGUAGCCGAUCUGAGAGGAUGAACGGCCACAUUGGGACUGAGACACGGCCCAAACUCCUACGGGAGGCAGCAGUGGGGGAUAUUGCACAAUGGGGGGAACCCUGAUGCAGCGACGCCGCGUGAGUGAAGAAGUAUUUCGGUAUGUAAAGCUCUAUCAGCAGGGAAGAUAAUGACAGUACCUGAAUAAGAAGCCCCGGCUAACUACGUG
Molecule: ribosomal RNA, 477 nt
Filed under: uncultured bacterium
Lineage: Bacteria
Description: partial 16S ribosomal RNA
Rfam family: Bacterial small subunit ribosomal RNA
Source: RNAcentral